CUGUUUCUUCUUUGGCGAAGUCACUAAGUAACCUACUAAUUUUCGGUCUUAGUGAGUAGCUUCCUGAGUUCCUGUCAAGCUUCGGCAGCAUUUAGUCACCGCCUGGUGGUCGCUGGAGUAUUGAUCCGAUUCCGCCAUCGCGUUUUUGUCCCAUGGCGUAUUGAGUUUCGUGUGUUCUUCGAGCAUCCUUUGAUGAUUUUUUCUUCUGGUGUUGUCUGGCAAUUUUUUUAGCUUUUUAAUUUUUCAAUUAUUUUCCCGAAGGUGCUUCAGUCCAGAUUAUCUCACUAAUGCCGAUUGUUGAACUCUUUGCAAUUUCAAGCAAUUAUUUUAACUCAAUUGAAAUCGCGAAUUGUUUUUGUUCGCUCGGGACGCUGCACACUAGAGAAAUCACUUCCGAGUGUGCAAUCUUGUUUGUAACGUGAGUUUGGUGUGGAUUGUCGAUUUUGGAGUUCUCUAUCGCGGAGGUGAUGUUGAUUGCGACUGUUAUAUCUUUUCCAUCAGUUACCGGGUAGUGUAAUUCAGCUGUGUGUUUCGUGUUGUACUUGUGUCAAGAGAACUCUGUAGCAAUCUUGAGUUCGAUAGUUGUAGAGUACAGAUUAGGGCUUAGUAUUGGUGUUGAGGUUUGGAGGAGUGAUGGAGAUUGAACUGUCGUUAGAGAGUGCGUAUGGAGAUUCAAAUGUUGAUUAUUCGUACUGGAAUUUCGUGAUUCCGCGCGACCAAAAUCUGUUUGUAGAAAGCCACGGACGGAUAAGUUUGAAGUCUUUUGACAGCUUUGGAUGAGGCUACGAUCAUGGAAAUUUGUGCGAACAACGAGCGUGAUGCCGCGCGUUCCGAUACUGCAAAUAUCGUGUUAAACUAUGAACCAAUCGGAAGCUUUUACGACCAUAGAGAAAGUUAUUUAUGCAUGGAAAAUUAAGGUGGAAGCUGAGUUGAGCUUCAGUAUUGAUAAAUUGGUCGUGGAGAGGUAGCAAGAAGAGCAUCUACCUCUCCACAACCAAUUUUUCAGUAUUAAAGGGAGGAUAUGGAGGAGAAGAUUGAAAAAGUUGAAUAAAAGGUAUGAAUAGAGAGGAAGAUCCUGAAGAGGGAGAGGGCGGAGAAGAAAAGGAGCUAUUAGAAAGGGAGAAGAGUUGUCGAAGAAGGCACAGAUUACCAAUCUACAACAUCGUGACAAUGUAGAGAAUGAUGUUGAUAAUUGGUCCACGCUGGCGAUGCUUGAGAAUGGCUUGAAAAGCUUGUUCUGGUUGGAACAGAGAAGAAAAAUAUUUAGGUUCCAAAUUUCCCGCUCCUUCAAUGAGAAAUCUGGCGAUUUUAACAAAGAAGGUAGUGUGUUAACUUUGAAUUUUAAAUCUGGGAUUUGUCUUCAAGCAAGAUUAGCUCCACCUAGCUGCUUCCUCCUCCGCUCCUGAACUAAACGGAUACUUUGAUAAGGUACUUUUACUUGUUCAUCAGUACUCCAACCUCCUUUGUUGGUUUUGGCAGUUAGGAUUUUAGUUGAUUUGAGCUGCACGUAAGAAGGGCCGGCAGAUUAUUCGAAAUAUUUGCUACAGAUGCUUUCCACUGCUCUUUCUUAACUUCGAGGGCUCAGUUCUCUAUCUCUCUGAUUUUACUGUCGUCACGCUCUAUUUAUUAGUCAGAGCUGUUGAGAAUUGCCGUGAAGCGUCACAUUGACAUUUCCACCCUUUUAAAAGAAUUACUUCCUGUAAAUCUUGCUAUUGUGAGGCACAAGGGGAGAAAGUUUGUUCUAGAAGUAACGUACAGCCUCACUGUAAUUUCGAAAGAAGUUCUUAGUUACCUUAUUCGUAAGGUGCCACAAGUUUCGGGUUAUUGAGACUAGGUAGUUGCAGACGUGUCGCAUCAUCAGGUUCUACCUGGUGUACGUGUACACUCGAAGUUGUGAUAUUGACGUUUGAGUCCUUGAUCUUAGAGUUCUGGACCCCAAAGGUAAUAUCUUAUGUUGUUAGCACACCGCAGCAUGCUCAGCGUAGUAAUUGGGAGGAAUGACCUCUUUCGCAAUCUCAGAUUAUUUAUGCUCCAGCUGAUACACAUUGUUUGCUUGCCCUAUUUAGCACACUACGAUCUGAUGCUUUGGCCCUGAUCAGCCUGGUCAAGCAAAUGUUAAAACUGGCGAUAACCCAGCUUCAUUGAUUCAGAAGCGAACAUCCAGCUUUCAGGAGAUUAGAGGACCAGAACUGCAACUUUUCACAGGUGCGGGGCUGAGGCUUGCUUUUUAACCAUCUUAGAGCCCUGUUUGACGGCUAAAAGAUGUGCCAGUAAAAACUUUCAAAAUGAUCGUUAAAACACAAACUUCUGUGGUUGAGAUGCCACCAAUAAAAUGGUGGCCUUCCGCUAUUGUUACACAUUUCCCGUUCUUAGUGUACUUAAUAGCGAAACAACGAAACCAAAUUCAACUUUUUUAGGAGGCUUCGCUUUUCUGUGUGAAAAUUUUACUCGUAUCACACAUGUACCUAUAGCAUGGCCUUUCUUUUCUUUGCUUUGCUUUGCUUUCUUUCCUUCCCUUCUCUUUGUUUUUUUUUUUUUUUUUUUUUUUUUUUGUAUUUUUUUGGCAUGUUCAGAAAAGACUACUCUUACUACCCUUGUUGGUUACGUCUUUUCUCCAAAGAUGUGUCUUGCUAUAAGAAUGAUUGAAGCUGCACCUCGACCCUCACUUCUGUUGUUUCCGCUUGGGUUUAAUGACAAGCAGAGAAUUUUAGCCGAAAGUUAUUCCAAGUUUGUAAAAUAGUAUUCACUGGCAUUGGUAGUCAUUAUCUAGAGUUGCAAUAAGUCACAUGCGUGAAGGCUUAUAGGCCGGCGAGCUUGAGAAGCACCUAAGUACCCACGUGAUGAAAUGAUUUUGGACUUAGUUGGACAAAAGGAUAGGCGGAAAUGGGUGACCGAAGUUCUUGUGUGAUGGAAUGGUGUGCCAAUUCUCAAGUGCCGACCUUGACCAUGAACUUGAAUCUAUAUCCACAGUAAUUGUUUAUUUGCAAUUUCUUUAAUUGUUAAUAGAAUCGAAAAUAAUCAGUUUCACUUGGAGGUCUGGAUUGAGGGAUUGGCUGGGCGGUUGCGCUGUGUUGAGAUUGGUGCAGCAUCAUCUUCCACUAAGAACGCGGCAAAUGGUUGAGCAGAGGAUAUUUGAAGGUCGGUUUUUGCUAACGAAAGAUAUCAAACUGCUGCAGCUGUGAUCGAUGCAUGUAUUUUGGAAAGAAACCAGCAGUAUGGGAGCAACUUGAAGAGGUUCGAUCUGUAUCGAUGCGGUGCACAUCUAUUUUAUGUGCCUACGCCAUCCCGAUCAAGCUCCCCUUUUGAGAUCAUGCUUGACUGUAUAGUUUCUUAUCAUUCUCGUUCUCUCAUUGCUUCGUUGGUGGAGCGAAAACCAUGUCAGCAAUUUUUAAUUUCAUCCUGGUUGAGGAGGAAAUAAAUUGAUUUUUUUCUUGGCAUCUCUGUUCGAUAGGUAAUAAGGAGUUUCAGAUCUUGGUAUCGAAAUCAGAGCUUCUGUCACGAUUUGUUGAGUGUAAUGGGAAGUUUUCGCCAGGACCUCCCACAUCGAAUGAAGCUAAGCCUCCAGCUCCUGCAAUCUAGGGCGUUCCACAAUCUGUGUUUGGGAUUUGUGAGGAGCACUAGCAUUGCUUCGUGUGUGGACACUUAUUUUUGCA
This is a long non-coding RNA of Physcomitrium patens, 3653 nucleotides long. RefSeq lists it as uncharacterized. The record is from RefSeq and is a predicted model, not a curated record. Lineage: Eukaryota; Viridiplantae; Streptophyta; Bryopsida; Funariales; Funariaceae.